CUUAGCAGGGCUGUGCUUUAUGCGUUGCUGGCAGGGUUGCUGUCAGCGCUGGCCUCGGCGCUGGAAUCCCCGCUCCCGGUGGCUUCAAUGAGGAGCCAAGAGGACCCGGACAUUUGAAAAUGUGGUAAAGAAUCUAGAGCAGGGAGUAUUCGCCGGGGAGGACGCAGAGAAGAUUCAGAAAAAUCCCUAACAGCAUUCCUCUUUCUCUCCCGCCUCUCAAAACACCUACAAAAUAACUUCUGUCAUUAACUUUUGCUUCUCUUUCUCUCUCUGUCGACCAACAAGUAUAAUUUUGAAUCUGUCUGUGAUAACAGACUAGAGUAGGGUAAAAAUAGCUAAUGUUUAACUCAGGCACAAAAUGAAAAACCUCCAGCUCCAACCAGGGUAAAUGUUAACGUUAGGGUUUAAUACUUCGGAAAAUCUGGAGGAGAUUCCGGCAUUGAUCAGGAAGAGACUUGUCGAUCUAUGGCUGUUUCAACGCAUUCAAGAUGUGACUCUGAGUCUCGAGUGUCCGCUUAAGGUGGUUGUUUGGUGGUGGUUUCAGGAACCGAGACGGCAGCUCAACCUUUCUGAUGCAGGGUAAAAGCCUCAGGCUCUGUAAACUUAAUCCCCAGCACACUCUGUUUCGUGGGCAGUGGGAGAGCACUGGCUGGCUACCUGCCCCUGAAGUGAACGGCCUGUAAAAUCAAAGAACAGGAACCAACAGAAUGUGGCACCAGGACCAUGAGAACUUGCAGAAGCAGGCUCAGUGCGCAAGGCUGGCUGCUCCUGCUGCUUCUGCCAUGCGGGCUGGGACACCCUUUACCUCAUCCAUGUUGCAGCGCCAACUAAAUAGUGCUCUGUAAAUGUUUUCAAAGAAGUUAGUGAGUUUAAACAACGUCAGUGGACCGGGAGAGAGACGGCUGCCUCAUAGACUCUGCCAUGAACUGCCCCCCCGCCUUUUUUGGCUCACUCUUCCAUCUUGUAUCUCGGACCUUCCUUAUGUUUGAUUUGAAACAUAUCCAGGAGUUCCCUGGCAGCCUAGCGGUCAAGGAUUCAGUGAUGUCACUGUUGUGAGUCUGAUCCCUGGCCCAGGAAGGUCCACAUGCUGUGUGCAUGGCUACAAACAAAGAAGAGCAACAAGCAUGUCCUUCAGUGGAGACUCCACCUAAGAUAAGCUCAGCGUUUGUUUCAUCUCUACUCCCAAGUAACAGCUAAGUGGUGUCUUGCCCUGGCCACAGAACACCUGCCCAAUUGCAGGUGUGAGGAUGGAGGUACCACAACCAUCACCACACCUCUUGAAAAACUCUCCCAAGUAUGGGUCACUUUGGAUUCUCUGUCUACAUAAGCUGACCAUUCACCUGGGACCCUGGGUCUCCUCCUGGGAACGUCGGUCUGUCAUGUUUUCUAAAUUGUCUCUGCUAGCCAUGUGCUUUAGACAGCAUGCCUUGCAUGUGCUUUCGAUGUCCGUGUUCAUGAGAGAUGUUGUAAGGGCUUACAACCGAGUUUUCAGAUAAGUCACUACAAACUAUUUGUAGUGGUUUAUAUAUAUACAUAUUUUACAAACAAAACACAGACAUAGAAGAUAAGCUGCCAAAAUAUUCAUUUGGGCUAAUAAUCCUGAUAUUUACCUGCAAGCUUGCCUCAGCUCUUAGUCCUUAAAAUAGAGAUAAGACCUCCUCGACCUCUGAGUUUUUAUUUUCAUAAUAACGUCAUAGGUCAUCAUUUCCAGGAUUGCUGUUGUGAUGAGUGUCCGGUUCUUAUUCUCUCACCAAUGCAUUUAAAGUAACUAUGCAAACUCUACAAUAAAACUCGGCCACUUGAAAGGUACAGUCUCAAAACGCAUAUUCUCGAUAUUUUAGUAAUAGGACAGAAUUCUCAUUUCAGUCCUCUAUGUGCGUGGCAACAAGGUGAGAUGAAAAGCGCUCAUGCAAUUAGUGAAUGAGGGACUAGGACCAAUUAGAAUACGCACAAGGUGCCAACAAGGGUUAAAGAGAAUGAGGGAUGAUUUGCAGGUUGCAGGGGGAAGAGUACAAACAGGAAGACCUGGUGGGCAAGGGAGGCCUGAAAGGCCUGGGGGCCAUUUCCAAUUACCAAGACAGAGGAGCUGGGCAAACACUUCUAAACCCCUAGAAAGAACAAUGACUCUGCCGCAGGGAAGGGAGGCCCUUUUUAGCAGGGGGGUGGGGGUCAGUAUUUGGAGUUAGAAUUUGGUGGAGUCUUCUGGCAGACGUUUAUUCAACUGAAUCUUGUAAAAUUUAU
Phacochoerus africanus (Common warthog) is the source of this 2241-nucleotide long non-coding RNA. RefSeq lists it as uncharacterized. The record is from RefSeq and is a predicted model, not a curated record. The transcript has 3 exons. Lineage: Eukaryota; Metazoa; Chordata; Mammalia; Artiodactyla; Suidae.